This 201-nucleotide long non-coding RNA is filed under the name Ananas comosus (pineapple). Its description in RNAcentral is "long non-coding RNA (ACOM_LNC019347)". The record is from RNAcentral. Lineage: Eukaryota; Viridiplantae; Streptophyta; Magnoliopsida; Poales; Bromeliaceae.
UCCUAAAUGAAGUGAGAGAUAAUGUUAUUUUGUAAUAUUUGUUAAAGUUGUUUGCUGGGUGAGAAAAAAAAAUUGCAAAUUCCUUACUGAGGGGCAUGUAUUGCUUUUUAACUACUGCAGGUCACGCUAAUGAAAUAAACGAAGCGGGUAGCGCGCUACCUAUCUCUCAAAAAAAAAAAAACUACUGCAGGUCACGCUAAU